Long non-coding RNA from Homo sapiens (human), 4669 nucleotides. RefSeq lists it as uncharacterized. The record is from RefSeq and is a predicted model, not a curated record. The transcript is spliced from 2 exons. Lineage: Eukaryota; Metazoa; Chordata; Mammalia; Primates; Hominidae.
GACUCAGACAGGCAGUGCUCAUCGCGGACAGGGCCUCCGACAUUUGACUGGCCUUGUAACUGGAAUGCUGAAGUUAUCUGAGCGGGUACUUGGCCUCAUUUUAUAUGAAGGAAAUUUAAAUGCAGAAAGACUAAGAGAUUCAUCUAUGUUUCCAUAGACGGAGUAUGCUGCAGUUGAGAUGUGAAUUCAGGACACGUGAAUGUCCACAGUUUUGCACUCUCCUAUUGAUCUGCUUUUACGGGAUUUCAUCUUGGUUGCUAUGCUACCUCUCACAGAAGCAUCUGCAUUUAUUCGCUUCCAUUCUAGUCAACAAAAACUUAUGGAGAAUUGACUUUGUACCAGGGAUCUUUUAGGUGAGGAAACUGAAAGAGGAAAAAGACAUAGUCUCUGCACUAAAAGAGCUCCCAGUCUAUAGAGGGGACAGACACACCUACCUACUGGACAACAGACCCUCAUGUAGUAAACUAGAGAACUAUUCUAAAACUUCCAAAUGGUAGAAUGAAAGGCUUUAUACCAGUUAAAGGAGUUUAGACAUCAGCUGGCAGCUGGGGAGUGGUCUGGUGAUAUGACAGUGGACACUUGGGCUGCCUGAGAGGAGCAUGCGUUGGUCACAUAAGGUUGCCUGGGCAGAGAUCAGAAGAGAUGGACCUGGUGUCUCUCUCCCAGUUUCCUGUAUUCCCCAGGCAUGACAAGCCCACCCUCUGUGACUGCUGGUGGUCUGGUCCUGGUAAGUGGUCCAUCUGCCUCUUCCAACCACAGCUUUUAUCCCCAUCACAGACUCUGGGCCUACCAAAUCCCUUCUGCAAUCCCCAGCUCCCAGGGCCCAAGAGUCCAGUGUGCUCUCUCAGCCUCUCUCCCCUUUCAUCCAUAGGCAGACUGGAUCCUUGUGCUAGAAAUCCUUCCAGAACCAGCAAUCUGGGCCCCAUCUUUUUCUCUGGCAACAGAAAAAGGCAGAAUACACAGCCCAGGAAGAACUCUGGCAGGAAACCCCUGAAGGGUGACCCAGAACACCUUAGGUCUUGGAAAAUGGACAGGGAGUCUGGAAACAUGGCCCCAGGUGCUGGCUGCACAGAUCUUUGCUUUGUUUUUUUUUAAGUGUAUUAUUUUUAUGUUAAUUUUUUUAUUUCCAUAGGUUUUUGGAAAACAGGUGGUGUUUGGUUCCAUGAGUAAGUUCCUUAGUGGUGAUUUCUGAGAUUUUGGUGCACCCUUCACCCAAGCAGUGUACACUGCACCCAAUUUGUAGUCUUAUCCUCAUCUCUCACCUUAUACAAAAAUCAACUCAAGAUGGAUCAAGCACUUAAAAUCUAAGACCUGAAACUAUAAAAAUUCUAGAAGAUAACAUCAGAAAAACCCUUCUAGACAUUGGCUUAGGCAAAGACUUCAUGACCAAGGACCCAAAAGCAAAUGCAACAAAAACAAAGAUAAAUAGGUGAGACUGAAUUAAACUAAAGAGCUUCUGCACAGCAAAAAAUCCUUGCUUUUUAAUAUGUGCCAGUGUGUAUGGGUGGAGAAAGAGUGGGGUGGCCAUGAAAAUGCACCAUGCAGCUCUUCUGCUGUGGGGGGCAGAGUUGACUGACGACCUCAGCCACUGCCCUGCUGGGUCCACCGCUGUGGCUAUGUCAAAACCUAAGCCAUGCUGCCAGCAAUUUGCUCCCAAUCAACCCCAAGCACAGCAGGGAGUGAGUGCAGGCCCACUCCUGUGAGAAUCAGGGCUCCUCUAAUAGGUGCCUGGGCUCGAGGACAUCCCAGAGGCCUGGCCAAAGCUUUCUUGAAACUGCUCUAGAGUCUGGGACCCUUCCUAUCCAAUCUUCCUUUGUUCCCGUCUCCUCUGCAGGUGUGAGGCUGCAUCUGGGUCUGACGACUCUCGCUGCCCCCUCCCCUUUAUCCUUCACAGGUGUUUCUUGUGCACAUCGAUGCACAUCCUGGCAUCUGCUUCUUGGAGGACCAGAAUUUACACUGUAUUUGAUGAAACUUAAAUUAAUCUAAACUGUGAUAACGACACUUUAUACAUCAUCCUGAGCUAAGAAAUUCGAAGCAAAAAAGUCAUAAAAAUAAGGCUUGGUAGUAACACAAGUAAUAACAAUUACAGGAAUUUAUAGAAACUGCUUACCAUUUAUGCCUAAUUACCAUACAGAGCAACAGCAAUUAUACAGAUUAUUAAAUACAGGUCAAAUUAACAUUGUUGAGGGUAGAGUGUACUCGAUUUAAGAUGUGGAUUCAGGACACUCAGAUGUAGUAAUCCAUAUUGAUUACGGCACUGAAUUCUGUUCUUCCAAUCUUCUAAAAAUGACUAAGACAAAUUUUUUAAGAUUAGAGAGUGGGUGGCGUGGAUGAUGAGAAAUUACUUAAUGGGUACGAUGUACAUUAUUUGGGUGAUGAACACCCUAAAAGCCUUCACCACUACACAAUCUAUGCAUGAAACAAAACUGCAUUUCUACCUCAUACAUUUAUACAAAACAAAGCAAAAAUAAAAACUGGAGGAAACAAUGUGGCAAAGACCAAUUUUCUUCAAAAUCCACAUAACGGCAAGGGACAAACUUUAACAGUUCCACCUGAAUAAACUUACCAGCAAAGAUUUGUCCUUCUUGUGCCUCACCCUGGGUUAUGAGAUUUCAAGUAUAAGCAAAGAAACUACCUUCAUUUCUUAAGGGUUAUCUUUUCAAAUGUGUUUUGAAAACCAAAUCCUGCCUAUCUGGGAUUGCUCCAUAUUCUCUAGUGAAAACAGCUUCAUAAAGUGAUUCAUCCUCUCCAGGCCACCUGAGCCCAUGCCUGGAAAUGUGGUCCUCUUAUUUGCUAACAAAUAAGGGCUUACUCAGGACCUGGACCAACAAACAGGCAAUGGCUUGCACUACCUGAGCCAUGGAGCCCACAAGUUCAGGAUUUAAUCUGCAAAAUCCAGGCAGCUGCUACCAAGUGUAAUCGUGCCCCAUCUGUGAACACCUGGGCUUCUCACCUUCUUCACAGUGCCACCAGGUGUGAGAUAGUACCAUCCCUGGGUCACAGACAAAGUGCGACAGGAAAGGCCAGAAGUUCACAAGGUAUGCUAUGAACAUACAAGAUGACGGUAAGACUACAAAUCCUACCUCGGGGAGCAUCGCUCAGCUCUUCUUAGCUUACAGGUUUGGACACCAUGUCUCAGCUACCCUUGACUAAGGCUGAGAGACCAGGAUGGGCAUCUGCCCAGAAGGCUCCGGGGGCUUCUAACACAAGGUAGAAACUGCCAAGUAGACCACUUUUAUGCAAUAAACCUUCAGCAGGCUGGUGGAGAAUGGGAGUAACCUUUCUUGAAGGUCUAUCUUGAAGAUAAUCAUCCAGGCCUUAUGUUGGGCAUUUUGUCAUUUUACCAUCUUUAACUCUUACCACAGCCUCUUUUCCUGAUGAAGACAGUUAGGGCCAAAGAAGUUUAAAUAACUUACUCAGGUCACUCAGACAGGAAAUGGCAAAAUCAGAACUGGAACGAGCUGCUUAACUCCAACUUCUCUUUCUACUUCGUAUUAACUCUUAGGAGUCUUUGAAGAAGAAGAAAGGAAAUUUGGGUCACAUAGGUAUUCGUUUCCUAUUGCUGCUGUAACAAAUCACCCCCAAGUUAAUAGCUGAAAACAACACGUUUAUCAUCUUAGUGUUCUGGAGGUCGAAGUCUAAAAUGGGUCUUGCUGAGCUAAAAGCAAGGUGUGGGCAGGGCUGCAUUCCUUCUGGAGGCUCCAGGGGAUAAUCUGUUUCCGGCUUUAUGAGUUUCCAGGUACCUCCUCCCACGUUCCUUCCACGUGGCCCCUCCCUCCAUCUUUAAAGUACAACACGGCAACCACUGUUUCUGUUAUCACACUUCCCUCUUCCGAUUUUGACUUUGUUGCCUCCCACUGAUAAGGAUUUUGGUGAUUACACUGAGCCCACCAGGAUAGUCUCCCUGAUCUCAAGAUCCUUAACUUAAUCACGUUUGCAAAGUCCCCUUUUCCACGGAGGGUAACAUAUUCGCAGGUCUGGGGAUUAGGACACGCACAUCAGAAUGUUAUUCUGCCUACCACACAUAUAUAGUGGGUCCCAUGUCUCCCCUCCUUUGCCCUAUUGCAUGGCUUGUAUAAGAUUCUCAUCUGUCCAUCCAAAUCACAGAUUUGAGGGCUUCUACCAGAACAUGAAGCUGGGCAACAUUUCUUUGCACAAACUUGUACAUAGCUGUCACUUGAAAUGCCAAAAACACGGUUGUAAUAUUUCAACAAGCUAACAUAUGGGUACUUCUUACUUUGGGGUUUUUUUUAAACUUAUUUUAUUAACAGCCAAAUAAUUAUUGCACAUACUCAUGGGAUACAUAGGGAUGUUUUCAUACAUGUAAUGUACAGUGAUCAGAUCAGGGUAAUUAGCAUAUCCAACAUCCCAAAGAUUUAUCAUUUCUUCAUGUUGGAAGCAGCAAUAUUCUCCUUCUAGCCAUUUGACUAUAGUCACCCUAUAGUGGUAUAGUGGUAACUAUAGUGCUGUAGUUAACGAUAGUCAUCCUACAGUGGUACAGAACACUAGAACUUACUCUUCUCCUCUACCCAUAAUUGUGUAUCCUGAUCUCUCCCUUCCCCUGCCCUUCCCAGACUCUAUUUUUAAUUGUUUGGCUAAGGUGGAUGGUGACAUUGGAGCUGAAAACAACCAUUAAUCCUCCUUAAUAAAAAUUAAUUUGAUCCUUGAA